AUUGAACGCUGGCGGCAGGCCUAACACAUGCAAGUCGAGCGGAUGAAGGGAGCUUGCUCCUGGAUUCAGCGGCGGACGGGCGAGUAAUGCCUAGGAAUCUGCCUGGUAGUGGGGGAUAACGUCCGGAAACGGGCGCUAAUACCGCAUACGUCCUGAGGGAGAAAGUGGGGGAUCUUCGGACCUCACGCUAUCAGCUGAGCCUAGGUCGGAUUAGCUAGUUGGUGGGGUAAAGGCCUACCAAGGCGACGAUCCGUAACUGGUCUGAGAGGAUGAUCAGUCACACUGGAACUGAGACACGGUCCAGACUCCUACGGGAGGCAGCAGUGGGGAAUAUUGGACAAUGGGCGAAAGCCUGAUCCAGCCAUGCCGCGUGUGUGAAGAAGGUCUUCGGAUUGUAAAGCACUUUAAGUUGGGAGGAAGGGCAGUAAGUUAAUACCUUGCUGUUUUGACGUUACCAACAGAAUAAGCACCGGCUAACUUCGUG
This 484-nucleotide ribosomal RNA is filed under the name uncultured bacterium. Its description in RNAcentral is "partial 16S ribosomal RNA". It matches the Rfam family "Bacterial small subunit ribosomal RNA", at positions 30 to 507 of the family's 1533-position model. The record is from RNAcentral.